Molecule: long non-coding RNA, 3776 nt
Filed under: Nicotiana tabacum (common tobacco)
Lineage: Eukaryota; Viridiplantae; Streptophyta; Magnoliopsida; Solanales; Solanaceae
Description: long non-coding RNA (NTAB_LNC012183)
Source: RNAcentral
AUAUAUUAGAUUCUUUUCUUUUCUUUAUGAUAUUUUGUUUUUUGUAAAAGUCGUAAAGUAAAUAGUAAGAGUCAGUUUCAUGAACAGUAAAGGUCGUUCAUGAAUAGUAAGAGUCAAGAGUCAGUUUCAUGAACAGUAAAGGUCGUUCAUGAAUAGUAAGAGUCAAGAGUCAGUUUCAUGAACAGUAAAGGUCGUUCAUGAAUAGUAAAAGUCAUUUUGUAAUAUUAUAAAUAAGUCUUUCGAUUAUGAAAUAAGAGAGGCUACAUCUUCAGGCCAAGGGCUUCUCUCUCCUCUCUCUUCUCUUCUCACAAGAAAUACUUACAGAUAAAAUACUUAAAGAUAAAAUACAGGAAAGCUAUGGAAGAUAAGCAAGCUAUGAAUCAGCAAGAAAAUAUGAAAGAUCAACAAGAAGACACCAAGAACAUACAAAACCAGGUAUGUCAUAUUAUAACUAUGAGUAGCUAAUUCAUUAUAUUCCUGAUAAUCUCAUACAUGUAGAUUAUAAUUAUCCAUCAUAUAAUAGUACUGUUAUAAAAAUCAUCUUGAGUAAGUUUGCCAUGAAAAUAUGCUAAGAGUAGGUAAGCCCAGACUAUGCAUCCUAAAGUUGAAACCGGUAGGCAGAAGGCUGUUUAGGGGAGUAAACAUGAGUUGAAGCGCUGUUAGGGUAACUGAUUGAAGCAGAAAAUCAUGGUAGUGACCAGAAAAGGUGAUUAAAAUAACUUAUUAUAAUAUGAUGAAUAAGGAUAAUAAACAUAGAGAUUAAAAGGAAUAUGUUUUAGCAAAUCAUAUGAUAAGAUGAAUACUUAUCUAAUAGACGACGAUAUUACCUAUAAAACACUUAUAAUUCUCCGAAACCUCCCUAAACAAUGAAAGAAAUAUCUUCACGUUUUUUAUUCCAAGCACCGUGAAUAUACCAACAGAGAUUAGAGGAAAUCUUCAUCCUGACUGGUAAAUUUUAUACUUGGUUGAAGCGGUGUGAGACUUUGAUAUAAAUUAUGAUUAGCGUGUUAUUUUUUCUUUGUUUGGGAGUUGUGGUUCUUUAAUUUGGUCAUUUGUUGGUUUGGGGCUCAAUAUUUUAUUAUUUGUUGAUACAAUAAUAUUGAGAUUAACUGUGAGACUUUGAUAUGAAUUAUGAUUAACGUGUAAGUUUUCCUUUGUUUGGGAUCUUCUUUUUUUUUUAAAACUAACCAAACUUUUAUUAACGAGUGGAAAGUGCUGCUACAUUUGGGAAAGGGGGCAUUCACCUAACCCUUUCAUAUCCUUUGUGAGCUUGGUGCACAAGCUCUGUUGCUAGUUAAUACAAAGUGCAGAAAAAACAGAACCAACCUCCUACAUAGAUUACUAUCUAGCAGCACACCUUAAGGUGGUUCAAAAUAUAUCUCUGAAGCUUUUAUUUAUCUGAUUCGGAAGGACGCCAUUUCCCAUCUAUAUCCAGCUGGUGUAACCCUCUGAUUUGUCUCGGCAAUCCAGUAAAGUCCGAAAAUACAAUGGCCUGCUUGUGGAGAUGACUUGUUGAUGCUAGUUUGUUUGCGACUUUAUUCCCUUCUCUGUAGCAGUGCUUUACUGCUGCUCCUUUUUCACUCACAAUCUACUUGAUUUUAUCCACAAUUUGCAGCAGCCUUCAUGGUGUGCUUGAUUCUUUAUUGACAGCAUAAACUAACACCUUUGAAUCAGCUUCCACUAUUAUUUUAUCCAAUCCUCUCGAUAAACAAUGCUGCAGUCUCAAGAGCAUGGCAUGUCCUUCUGCCCAAUUGCUCGUCCCUUGACCUAAGUAUAUUGAGUACGCCAUGACAAGUGUUUCAUUGUAAUCUCUAAUUACUCCACCAGCUCCACAAGCCCCUUCCACACAACUUCCAUCACUGUUAAGUUUGUAGUAGAAAGGAGGAGGUCUAGACCACUUCACCACUUUAAUUUGUACAUUCUGUGCGUAAUAGGUUGGUCAACAAUGCGCUGCAGCUUUUCCCAUGUUGUUUCCCUCUGUAACUGUCCGAAUUUCUGUUGAACCAAACAUGAGAGAUUGAAAGAGAUCAACUUUGUAAUUAUAGCUUGUUUCGUAGAUUUUAUUCUCUUACUAGCGAUAUAACGCUUGGAUUGGCGAAGCAUGUCCAAAUUUUUAGCAGAAAGGUAUCCAAUAGCUUUCCCUUGAAGACAAUCUAAGAGCUUAACAAUUAAAUUUUUUAUCUAAAUAUUUUUUUGAAAUUUAUCCAAUGGAAAAGAUAUCAUUAUGCAAAUCUUCAAAUAAUAUCUUAUGCAAGAUAGAAACUUUGUUUAAUUCAAAAGAUUGGUGUAUAUUUUUAGAAUUAUUAUUAGUAAUCUUAAAGAUUAUAUAUGGCUGUUAUAGAGGGGUAAUUUACAAAGAGCGUUCUGUUAUAAAUAUGGCUGUUGCUGUUAUAGGUAAAAUGUUAUUAUAGAAAGGUAAAAUAUAACUUAAAAAUCUGUUCUGAAGAAAACUUGUCUUUUAUAGUGAAUGGUUGUUAUAUAUGGAUGGUGUUAUAGAGAUAUAUGGUUGUAUAUAUACAAAGAUAAUGAUUACCAAACUGAGAUGAUUUACCUUAUAAAUGUACGAAAUUUGUUUCUCCUAUUUAUCAAGUUUGUUAUUCUUCAUUCUCAGCUUAGUUCCCCUUUUCAUGUGGAAAUAUUAAAGAAACUUAAAUACAAUGAAUUGGGACAUAACUCAUACUAGCUGUGAGUAUGAAUAUUCAAACUCCUUGUUAUUCAAGGAACGUGUGUGAAUAAGACGGGAUUGAUCUUCUUGCUUAAUUAGUGCUUAAACAAAAUUUGGGUUAAUUAUAAAGUGAAGGGGGAAAGUUCAGACUUUAUCACCAAUGUUUCGAUUAUUACACUUUGGCCCCAAUCUAUAUAAAUGUAAUAUUUUCAAAAUUUAAAUAAAGAAAAAACCCAACACCCCCCAUCCGACUCCCGCCGUUUCAGUAGCUUCUCAAUCCUCAUUUCUCACGGCUGAAUCCUCCAUUACAACUUAAUUUUCUUCCAUUCUUCAUAUAGAGGUUGUCUCCCUUCUUUCCCAUUCCGCUCUAAGCCUCAUUCUUUCGAUUUAUCGAUUACGGAGAGAAAGCACAAAUAUUUAGAUAUGUCGAUUUGGGAAUGAAAUUGGUGGCACAUUGGAUUGAUAAUUUAUUUUAAGUACUUUAUUGUGUAAUUCCUUUGUCUGGUAAGUGUUUGUAUCUCAUCUUAUUCGCCAUUGUUAAUUUGGAUUUCUGCAGAUUUUCUAUGCACAUUACUCGACCACUAGCGUACAAUAGACCACUGGUUCACAAUAAACUGAUGGAAGAUUAUAUAUUAGUAUGCGGUCUUUAUUCUGGAGAAUGGGUUGAGGGAACAAAUGGUUGAAAUUUAAAUUCCAAUACAAAGGUUACAGUGCCUAUCCUUUGUAACGACCUGACCGAUUGUUUUGAGCUUUACCGUUCUAUUCGGUGAUUUGAGACUUUGAGUAGUUUCGUAUUAUGUAUUAUGACUUGCAUGUAUGAUUGGUUUCGAUUUUCGAGCAGUUUGGGAUUAAUUUGGAAGAAUGAUUCUUGUUUUAUAAGCUUUAAGUUAGAAGAGUUGACCAAGAUUUGACUUUUGGGUAAACAGACUAAGAAUCGGGUUUUAAUUAUUCCAAUAAGUUUGUAUGAUGAUUUUGAACAUGUCCACAAAGUUUGAUUAAAUUCCAAUGUGUUUUGGAUAAGUUUAGGUUAUAUGGAGAUUGUUUUCGGUUUCGACGUCGAUUUAGCAUAAGGGUUACCAUAUUGAGCAAACAGCCUUUGAUUCGUGUUUUG